Molecule: long non-coding RNA, 1723 nt
Organism: Oncorhynchus tshawytscha (Chinook salmon)
Lineage: Eukaryota; Metazoa; Chordata; Actinopteri; Salmoniformes; Salmonidae
Exons: 6
Source: RefSeq, a predicted model, not a curated record
AGGUCACGCACAGAGCUGAUCCGGAAGAAGAUUUUAACCACGUUGUUUUGGUUUUGUCAGCGCGAGCUAGCUAACAUUUCGCUUUUAAUCCCCUAACUAAAUAUUCUUCAGCCAUUGGGAAGUAAUUUGCAAAUUGUAAGUGCAAUAAAGAUUUUCCAUCCUGCAUCGAAGUCAAAUAUAUAAAUAGGUGGGUGGCUAAAUAGUUGUUCUAGCCCAGCCUUCCUCACUAGCUGUUGGUGGGAGAUGAUCGUGUGAAGAAUGGUCUCAACUUCAUGUAUGAAGCUCCACCUGGGGCAGACAAAGGAAGGAGAAUCAGAAUACAAGUUUGAGUGGCAAAAGACGUCCCCUCGAGGGAAGUCCGUCGAUGCACCCCUCCGAGUUAAUGGCAGAGAUGCGAAACAGUGGGUUUGCCCUGAAGAAAUGUGUCCUUGGAAGAAAUUCUACUGUUUGUGAUCCAUCGCAGGAGUACGCUGUCAAUGAAGAAGAGGAGGAUCCUGAGGUUGAAUUCCUGAAGUCGUUGACCACUAAAAAGAAAGAGAAGCUCCUCAGGAAACUUGGUCGUCUACAAAAGAAGAGUGAAGGAAAUCAGAAGAAGGACCGUGAUAGUAGUGACAGCUCCAGUGAAAGUAGCAGCUGUGACUGACUGACAGCUCCAGUGAGAGUAGCAGCUGUGACUGACUGACAGCUCCAGUGAAAGUAGCAGCAGUGACUGACUGACAGCUCCAGUGAAAGUAGCAGCUGUGACUGACUGACAGCUUCAGUGAAAGUAGCAGCAGUGACUAAGAGUCUGAAGAGAAAGAAGAAAGGCAAGAGAAAGGACUCCUGUCGUGAUGACAACACUGAGAGUGAUGGAUGAGUCUAGAGUAAGACCAGGCCCAACCUCCAGACAGAAACAGCACAAAGAUGAUACCAGAGAGGAGAAAGAAACAGUAGAGAUGAGACACGACAGCAGGGAGAGGCAGAGAACCAGCAGCAGCUCCCAGCCUGGCCCAAACAAAAGUAGAAGGAGAGAGAUAUAAAGACAAGGUUCACAGUAGAGAUGAGGCAAACAGUAGAAGAGAGAUGGAUAGAAGUAGGAGCAGAGAUGGAGCAAAGAAUAAAGCAGCCGCAAAGGGAGGAGUAGGAUCCUAGAUGGAGGGAGGGAGAGGGGGGGCAAAGGGAGGAGCAGAAGCAGAGGGAGGGAGAAUGAGAAAAGAGCCAGAGGGAGAGCUGAGAGAAAGCACUGAACUGUGAGAGUAGACAAUCUUACAAAGUGGGCCAGUGAUACCAUUUUAUUUUACUGAUGUAAACAUUUUUGACACGUUUUGACGAUUUUAUGAUGCUAUUGUUAAUAUGUACAGUUUUCUUGGUGGGCCCACUUAUUAAACAAACACAUAGAAACCAACGUUUUUGGUUCUGUUGCAAAAUGUUGAGAAGAAGCAAACUGAAUGAAACCGGGAGGGGCCUACCUGAAUUUGACCAAUAGAAACUGUUCAAAAUGUUCCAUUUUGCUACUGUUAGGACUAGUGAUUACACCCCUGCUCCUCAAAUAGUUCUUAUUUUCAUCCACUAGAGGGCAGCAGUAGACCUAAAAUAACUUGAACCACAGAAAUAUUUUGCAUUUGUCAUAUUAUUGAACAAAUGCAUGUCUUGCAUGCACUAUUAUUGAUGGUUGUCACUUUAGUCCAGAAAACCCUCUUCAGAAUUCUAAUAAAAAAUAUUAUUGCAACUCGAAUUUUAAAAA